Long non-coding RNA from Brassica napus (rape), 2090 nucleotides. RefSeq lists it as uncharacterized. The transcript is spliced from 2 exons. Lineage: Eukaryota; Viridiplantae; Streptophyta; Magnoliopsida; Brassicales; Brassicaceae. The record is from RefSeq and is a predicted model, not a curated record.
UGAGCAUCAGAGAGUGUGUCCACGUAGGACAAUUAAAUCAGCCAAUCAGGAGGUUUCUCUACGACACGUCAGACACGCGAUGACAAACCUUAUUUUCCCAAAAUCGAAUCUGGGACCCUUUCUCUUCGUCUUCUCCGUCGUCUUCGUUUCAGGCAUUACCACAAUUCAAUUACCAUCCGUAACUCCUGAAUUUAAUGCGGUUAAGUCCUUUGGAGUCCCUCUCCUUCCCUCCUUAUACAUAGCUUCAGUGUGAAGCUAGCUAUUGAGGAUAUACUGUUGAUCUUCUCUUGGCUUGGCCUCUCCACGACCUUUGGUUUACGGACGGAAGCGAUUAUCACCGCCGACGUUUUUCAGGAAUCACUUGGUCACUGUUGACUAUCACCGUCGCUGAUCGACGUCUCCAUUCACACCGUUAUUUUUGGUGGCGCUAAGUUCAACCCUUCCGGUCACGCAGCCUUCUAUGCAGCCGAUAUCCCGAAGUGGAUGAGCACCUGAGCGGAUUCAAUCGGAAUAAGUUUUUAAAUUGUAAUCGAGAAGGAGAAGCAGCUGUCUUCAGGGAAUUUCUUACUCAUGCUUCAGAAGGUCUAUUUGUACUUGACCCUAUGUCAUACAGACUUACAGUGCAUUGCCCGUUAGGUUAUCACUUUCCUUAGUUAUUCGUUCUAUCUGUUCCACUCAUUCAAAUAGGGAUACCCAUCUCAGAGAAAGGAACACGCGGAUCAACUCAUGGAGAAAUUGUUACAAUCAGUCACUACAUUUUCUCUGGACUAUGAAAAAAAUGUUAAAAUAUUGACUCAUGGGUAACAUCCGUUAUGGUGUAGUCUUUUAAUGUCACAGAACCUGAUCAGAAAGUUUGUUUAGAACUUGAACUUGACGGAGCAGCCGUGCAGGUUAUGAGCUGUGUUUGACACUAAAAUGGAAACCAUGAGAUCUUGAAAUGGAUCGAUAAUAUCUCAGCAGACUGUUGUAUUCAUGUUACCUGCAUUCUGUGGUCAAGUUUCCUCGCUAUUUAUGCAUGCUUAUGGCUAUCGUGUCAAACAUCUACUAAGCAAACUAAACCUUUUUUCCUUCACCAUAUCUUGGUUUUUCUUAUUACACAGUAGCAAAGCAUCCUCACGUUUUCUUUUCCCUUAUGCAUAGAGUAACCAUAUUUCUUGAUUAAUGCUGCUUAGUGAUGCAAUGUUCCUGUAAAUUUAGGUUUUUCCUAAGGUCAUGUGUAUGUUUUAUCUGACUUGGAGUCAUGCAUAUGGAGAUGGUUCAAAAAUCAGGGAAUUCGUUUCUAGACUUCAAAUAUGAAAUGUGUCUCUCCGUUUCAGGGAAAGUGUUUGUUUAGCAUUCACUUUAGUUUAUUAAAUGCGGAAACUAAACUGAUAUUGAGUGGCUUAAGUUUGGGGAUUGUCUCUUUGUUCCCUUUAUGUAAUAGAUGUGCUCUGCAUUGGUAAUUCUACCAUAAGUUUGUUAUGACUUAUUGAGUUCUUUAUCAAGUUUUGAAAUCAUUAAGUUUAUUUUUGAAUGUAAAUGCUCUGUUUGUGAGCAUUCAAGACUUUCAUUCUUGUGCAUAUUGUCAUGGUGCCCACAAGAAAAGUUCACGUCUGAUAUGUUUAUUCGUGCCAUCUUUUGAUUCAAAUUUCACACUUUUGUGUUUCUCAUUAUUGCUUAAUCAACCUAGAACUUGAGGAUCGCAUGCCCGUCGGCUCCGGUGUUGUUUUUACAUCGCCUAUUCCCGGAUUCCUACAGUUUGCUAGGAACAUCUGUAGAGAAUCCAUGUAACCUUUCUACACUUACCUUCAGGUAGAACUUUGAUGGAUCUUAUUGAUGCUGCUCACUCAGACCAAUAGGUCUUGCGUGAGGUCAUCUGGAGCAGCUCAAGGGAUGGAUUAUGUGAGGUGGUAGAGGCUUUGGUUCACCGGUAGAAGCUCUCUUCAACUAUCUAGGAUCUGAAUUUUGGAAUACAUUUGCAUUAUUUAUGUUAAAUAUAUAUAUAGCAUGCGCAUACACCGUACGUUUCAACACAGUUUAGUUCCUCAUCAGCUUUGUCGUACAAAGAAGUUUUUAAUUGAGUUUAUUUAAGUGCAGCUAUGUUUUUUGCU